RNAcentral lists this transfer RNA (143 nucleotides) under Clonostachys rosea f. rosea IK726. The record is from RNAcentral. Lineage: Eukaryota; Fungi; Ascomycota; Sordariomycetes; Hypocreales; Bionectriaceae.
GCCCCCGUGGCGCAGUGGUAGCGCGCUCUCGAGUUACUUGCAUCCCCCGAUGCACCCUCCCCCUGCCCCUCCCCCAAAGGGUGCAUUGCAGGGAGUGGUUUCCACUCUGAGAGAGGUCCUCGGUUCAAUCCCGAGCGGAGGCA